RNAcentral lists this ribosomal RNA (407 nucleotides) under uncultured bacterium. RNAcentral describes it as "partial 16S ribosomal RNA". It matches the Rfam family "Bacterial small subunit ribosomal RNA", at positions 30 to 526 of the family's 1533-position model. The record is from RNAcentral.
AUUGAACGCUGGCGGCAGGCCUAACACAUGCAAGUCGAGCGGAGCGACGGACGGGUGAGUAAUGCCUAUGAAUCUGCCUGGUAGUGGGGGAUAACGACCGGAUACGGGCGCUAAUACCUCAUACUUUCAAAUAAGCCUAGGUCGGAUUAGCUAGUUGGUGGGGUAAAGGCCUACCAAGGCGACGAUCCGUAACUGGUCUGAGAGGAUGAUCAGUCACACUGGAACUGAGACACGGUCCAGACUCCUACGGGAGGCAGCAGUGGGGAAUAUUGGACAAUGGGCGAAAGCCUGAUCCAGCCAUGCCGCGUGUGUGAAGAAGGUCUUCGGAUUGUAAAGCACUUUAAGUUGGGAGGCGUUACCAACAGAAUAAGCACCGGCUAACUUCGUGCCAGCAGCCGCGGUAAUUC